This 695-nucleotide long non-coding RNA is filed under the name Jatropha curcas. RNAcentral describes it as "long non-coding RNA (JCUR_LNC002417)". The record is from RNAcentral. Lineage: Eukaryota; Viridiplantae; Streptophyta; Magnoliopsida; Malpighiales; Euphorbiaceae.
UAGGAUUUAAUUUGGAAAGCACACGGGCUAUUGGAUUAAAGUUGUUUUUUGAAACUGAGUGCCUUGCCCAGAAGAAGAAGUCGUCGAAAUGGAUGGGUAGGGUUUGAUCUGGAAAACACUUGGGCCAUUGGAUUGAAAACUUGCCCAGAAGAAUAAGUCGCAAGAAAUACUGUAAUUUGGCUUGACGUUGGGUAUUUUGUCACUUUCUCCCUCUUCGUGGUUGAGACGGUAGAAAAUAUAGAGAAACAAGUCAAGAACCCAAGAAAAACGCCACAAAUGACGAUUAGAGUUGGUGGCUCUCUACUCUUUGACCGGCGAUGACAGUAUUGGGUGCUAGAAGCGGUGGAGGUUCGAUGGAUAAGAGGAGCGAUCAUGGAUAGCGUGUUAGAGGGAAUAACUAAUUCCGGUUAGGAUUCUUAUCCAUCUGCACGACCCAUUUUGUUAGCCCUUCCAAAUGACCUAUCUAUUGGGUUAAACGAUAAUUUCAAUCCGACAAAUGAGCUUUUCCCAUGAGCAUCCAUUAAAGAGGUGAGUGAAAAUCGAACGAUUUUCUUCAAUAAAUUUUAGUUUUACGAAAGAUUGAUUUGAGGUUUUGAGAAUUUUUUGAUCUCAGUUAUAAUUGGUGAUAAAAAGGAAAAUGGAUAUAAAAAUUGAGUUUCUCAUACGGUUCUGGUAAUUUUGAUAGUUAGGUUAUA